This 672-nucleotide long non-coding RNA is filed under the name Cricetulus griseus (Chinese hamster). RNAcentral describes it as "lncRNA (ENSCGRG00000026052.1)". The record is from RNAcentral. Lineage: Eukaryota; Metazoa; Chordata; Mammalia; Rodentia; Cricetidae.
CCCAAAUCUAACUGCCAUGCUUUGACACCACUUUUGUUUAUAUUUGUGUGCCCUGUCAAUCACUACACAUUCAACACUGCUUAAAGAUGUAAUUCUCUGCUUCUCAGCCACUGUGUUUGUUUUUUAAUUAUCUCUCCUAUCCCAGCCUCUCUGAACAUGAUUGCAUAGCCAACAGCUGCCACACUCAUCUUCCAUUGAGAAGCCCUGACUCAUACCACACCCCUGCUUCCAUCCAUCAGCCCUGAGUCAUACCACACCCCUGCUUCCAUUGAGAAGCCCUGAGUCAUACCACAUGCCUGCUGACAAGCUUUCAGGGGGUUCUAUUUCUAUCGAAGAAAGACAGCACCAAAAGGCGUCCAUGGUCUUGUCCUCACAUCACCUCUACCAGUUUGAUCUCUCAUGUCAUGCUUGAGCCCAGACACAAGGUUUCUCCUAGCCAAACUGGCCAGCCCAUCCAUCAAGGACUGCUUGUGUGCUCCUGUCCUAUUGCAUACUCAGCCUGUUUCUCCACAUGUGAGGUCCAUCCUCUUCCCAGCCUUCUCACUACUUGGCAUUCACUAUACCACUUCCCUCAGAAGUGUUUCUAAGAGAUCAUAUGCAAAUGAGAAGGGAGAAGUUUGGAAGGAAAGUUACAGCUCUUCGCUCUUUGUAGCAUCUGGAUUGGGAUACUGA